RNAcentral lists this ribosomal RNA (203 nucleotides) under uncultured bacterium. Its description in RNAcentral is "partial 16S ribosomal RNA". It matches the Rfam family "Bacterial small subunit ribosomal RNA", at positions 332 to 526 of the family's 1533-position model. The record is from RNAcentral.
AUUACUCCUACGGGAGGCAGCAGUGGGGAAUCUUGCGCAAUGCACGAAAGUGUGACGCAGCAACGCCGCGUGAGGGAAGACGGCCUUCGGGUUGUAAACCUCUUUCAGUUGGGACGAGGCCUCGACGGUUAAUACCCGUCUGGGGUGACGGUACCUUCAGAAGAAGCCCCGGCUAACUACGUGCCAGCAGCCGCGGUAAUAAU